GGACCUGUAGCUCAGCUGGUAGAGCAGCGCGUUUACACCGCGGAGGUCGUCGGUUCGAGUCCGGCCGGGUCCACCA
RNAcentral lists this transfer RNA (76 nucleotides) under Actinomyces israelii. RNAcentral's name for it is "tRNA-Val". It matches the Rfam family "tRNA". Rfam says of the family: Transfer RNA (tRNA) molecules are approximately 80 nucleotides in length. Their secondary structure includes four short double-helical elements and three loops (D, anti-codon, and T loops). RNAcentral also lists the same sequence under 2 other names. Lineage: Bacteria; Bacillati; Actinomycetota; Actinomycetes; Actinomycetales; Actinomycetaceae. The record is from RNAcentral.